RNAcentral lists this ribosomal RNA (511 nucleotides) under Streptomyces sp. RNAcentral's name for it is "bacterial SSU rRNA". It matches the Rfam family "Bacterial small subunit ribosomal RNA", at positions 271 to 794 of the family's 1533-position model. The record is from RNAcentral. Lineage: Bacteria; Bacillati; Actinomycetota; Actinomycetes; Kitasatosporales; Streptomycetaceae.
AGGCGACGACGGGUAGCCGGCCUGAGAGGGCGACCGGCCACACUGGGACUGAGACACGGCCCAGACUCCUACGGGAGGCAGCAGUGGGGAAUAUUGCACAAUGGGCGAAAGCCUGAUGCAGCGACGCCGCGUGAGGGAUGACGGCCUUCGGGUUGUAAACCUCUUUCAGCAGGGAAGAAGCGAAAGUGACGGUACCUGCAGAAGAAGCGCCGGCUAACUACGUGCCAGCAGCCGCGGUAAUACGUAGGGCGCAAGCGUUGUCCGGAAUUAUUGGGCGUAAAGAGCUCGUAGGCGGCUUGUCACGUCGGAUGUGAAAGCCCGGGGCUUAACCCCGGGUCUGCAUUCGAUACGGGCAGGCUAGAGUGUGGUAGGGGAGAUCGGAAUUCCUGGUGUAGCGGUGAAAUGCGCAGAUAUCAGGAGGAACACCGGUGGCGAAGGCGGAUCUCUGGGCCAUUACUGACGCUGAGGAGCGAAAGCGUGGGGAGCGAACAGGAUUAGAUACCCUGGUAGU